Molecule: small RNA, 27 nt
Filed under: Sinorhizobium meliloti 2011
Lineage: Bacteria; Pseudomonadati; Pseudomonadota; Alphaproteobacteria; Hyphomicrobiales; Rhizobiaceae
Description: putative ncRNA
Source: RNAcentral
GCGCGGUAAGACUUGGCGAAGUGGAUA